AGUGAACGCUGGCGGUAGGCCUAACACAUGCAAGUCGAACGGCAGCACAGUAAGAGCUUGCUCUUACGGGUGGCGAGUGGCGGACGGGUGAGGAAUACAUCGGAAUCUACUUUUUCGUGGGGGAUAACGUAGGUAAACUUACGCUAAUACCGCAUACGACCUACGGGUGAAAGCAGUGGAUCUUCGGACCUUGCGCGAUUGAAUGAGCCGAUGUCGGAUUAGCUAGUUGGCGGGGUAAAGGCCCACCAAGGCGACGAUCCGUAGCUGGUCUGAGAGGAUGAUCAGCCACACUGGAACUGAGACACGGUCCAGGCUCCUACGGGAGGCAGCAGUGGGGAAUAUUGGACAAAGGGCGCAAGCAUGAUCCAGCCAUACCGCGUGGGUGAAGAAGGCCUUCGGGUUGUAAAGACCUUUUGUUGGGAAAGAAAAGCAGCAGGUUAAUACCCCGCUGUUCUGACGGUACCCAAAGAAUAAGCACCGGCUAACUUCGUG
This 492-nucleotide ribosomal RNA is filed under the name uncultured bacterium. RNAcentral describes it as "partial 16S ribosomal RNA". It matches the Rfam family "Bacterial small subunit ribosomal RNA", at positions 29 to 507 of the family's 1533-position model. The record is from RNAcentral.